GAUUCCCCUAGUAACUGCGAGUGAAGCGGGAAAAGCUCAAAUUUAAAAUCUGGUGGUCUUUUGGCCGUCCGAGUUGUAAUCUAGAGAAGUGUUAUCCGCGCUGGACCGUGUACAAGUCUCCUGGAAUGGAGCAUCAUAGAGGGUGAGAAUCCCGUCUUUGACAUGGACUGCCAGGGCUUUUGUGAUGCGCUCUCAAAGAGUCGAGUUGUUUGGGAAUGCAGCUCAAAAUGGGUGGUAAAUUCCAUCUAAAGCUAAAUAUUGGCGAGAGACCGAUAGCGAACAAGUACCGUGAGGGAAAGAUGAAAAGAACUUUGGAAAGAGAGUUAAACAGUACGUGAAAUUGCUGAAAGGGAAACGCUUGAAGUCAGUCGCGUCAUCCAGGGAUCAACCUUGCUUUUGCUUGGUGCACUUUCUGGUUUGAUGGGUCAGCAUCAAUUUUGACCAUUGGAAAAAGGUCAAGGGAAUGUGGCAUCUUUGGAUGUGUUUAUAGCCCUUGGUCACAUACAAUGGUUUGGGAUUGAGGAACUCAGCACGCCGCAAGGCCGGGUUUAAAACCACGUACGUGCUUAGGAUGUUGACAUAUAUAAUGGCUUUAAUCGACCCGUCUUGAAACACGGACCAAGGAGUCUAACAUGCCUGCGAGUGUUUGGGUGGAAAACCCGAGCGCGUAAUGAAAGUGAAAAGUUGAGAUCCCUGUCGUGGGGAGCAUCGACGCCCGGACCAGACCUUUUGUGACGGUUCCGCGGUGGAGCAUGUAUGUUGGGACCCGAAAGAUGGUGAACUAUGCCUGAAUAGGGUGAAUCCAGAGGAAACUCUGGUGGAGGCUCGUAGCGAUUCUGACGUGCAAAUCGAUCGUCAAAUUUGGGUAUA
RNAcentral lists this ribosomal RNA (870 nucleotides) under Cortinarius roseoarmillatus. RNAcentral's name for it is "LSU rRNA". It matches the Rfam family "Eukaryotic large subunit ribosomal RNA", at positions 73 to 919 of the family's 3401-position model. Lineage: Eukaryota; Fungi; Basidiomycota; Agaricomycetes; Agaricales; Cortinariaceae. The record is from RNAcentral.